ACUGCGCAUAGCUCACUUUCUUGAGCAACCCUGUGUCCCCGCACCCCGCUCCUCUUCUUUCGGGUUCUAGGCAGCCGUGGGCGCUGCGACCCUUCUCUCACUGUCAGAGGGGCGGGAGCUCUCGGCCUGCGCCGCCUCCGCUGCCUGCUUGGUCGCGGGCUUGCCGGGAAUGGUGACAGCCCGGGCCCCCUCUUGGCCAAAGAAGUCCUCGAAAGCGUUCGGCGCACGGGCUUUGUCCAGCUUUUUAAACCGUAACAAGGACCGGGGCCGGGCGCGGUGGCUCACGCCUGUAAUCCCAGCAUUUUGGGAAGUCGAGGCGGACGGAUUACUUGAGGUCAUGAGUUCGAGACCAGCCUGGCCAACACGCAAAGAUAUCCAGACGCUGUAUGCAGGAAGAACUGAAUUUCAGAGGACACCGUUUGAUCUUCAACACCUGGCAGUUUACAAAACAGGAGUCCCAGCUGAGAACUCAAACUGGUAGAAGGAAGAUUAUUUUUCCUUCUCUAUAGGUGCUUGGAGGUAACGAGGGGAAAGGAGUUGAAAGGAAGGUGACAUUUCAGGUGGGCACCUGGGAUGGAGGCAAGGAAUCACGAAGUGGCGUCUCCUCGGAAGGGGCAGCCUGAUGUCUUUAACCACUGAACUGUGGUUUCCAACUGGAUGCGCUUUGGGUUCAGGGCUAAGACACGCGUAGGCGGUGCAGACAGUUCAAUUCGUGGGCGGCUUUUUCUCUCCCCUGCGCGGUUUUGCAGAACUGAGGAUUCACGUUUGCCACGCAGUCUCUAAAUCCUCCUCCCAGCCCUCGCCGGAUUUCUGCAUCGGAAUUGGAUUGGAUCACACACAAAAGAAGAGCCCAGGAACUCGUUCACCACCUUGCACCUUGCCUGUUAGUUCACGGCAUAAUGGUAACAGAGUCUUCAUUAAUGGAAGCAACGUUACUACCGUGAGCCCGGAUAGCUCAGUCGGUAGAGCAUCAGACUUUUAAUCUGAGGGUCCAGGGUUCAAGUCCCUGUUCGGGCGGUAUCUUUUUUUUCCUCAUUAAAAGAGUAAGAACCAA
RNAcentral lists this transfer RNA (1054 nucleotides) under Homo sapiens (human). Its description in RNAcentral is "long independently transcribed non-coding RNA 2739, transcript variant 3 (LINC02739)". The stretch from base 945 to 1017 matches the Rfam family "tRNA". The record is from RNAcentral. Lineage: Eukaryota; Metazoa; Chordata; Mammalia; Primates; Hominidae.